GAAUUUUACUUUCAAUAGCAUGAAGAUAAGUUCCUGCUAAUCAAGUGAUUUCUUUACGUUCGAUUCUCUAAGGGGCCAGUACAACAGUGUCUGAAGCCAGAGAGCCAGGCCUGGAAUCCUGAUUUUGCUGCUUACUAACCAUGUGACCUUGGGCUGCAGGCUCACUAUAAAACACCAGAGGCCUUCUUUCCCUUCUCUUCCCAAGAACCCGCGGGGGACUUUGGGUUGCAGCGGUCUGGGCUUUUCUUAGUCCCAGAGGCAAGUGAACAGUCCCUUGUUUCCAAAAAUGCUCAUAGAGCCACGUGGAGGCAACUCCAAGUUCACCAACCCAAUGGAAAGUGGCUGCCUGCCUUCCACUUGCCUCCAAUACGCUGUGAACUUUCCAUUCAGAAACUGUGAUCGAUAUUCCACAAGUUGGACCAUACAGAAGCUAAACCACUGAAAGUCAUCCUGAUGGCAAUCGAGCAGAUCAGACGUGCAGGGGCUCCCGACUGCAGACACAGGGUCUUUCUUCACCUCUCUGAGGCUAUUCCUGCCAUCUAAGGCAAGCCCACCCAGGCAGCAAGUAGAAGCAUGGGUGAGCUCUCCUUAGCACCAAAGCCUCCUGAGAUCGAAUGUUGAAGAUGAGCAGUUUUGGAAGGAGAAGGAUUGAGUGAAUUUUUAUACCAAGUUCAACAAAGGCAAGGCCGUCUUUUUAAGUGUUGUACUAGGAGCAUUAGCUAUUUGGGCAGAGUAACCUGAAAUGUUUAUGAAUUGUAGCCUCAAAAAAGAUUUUAUGCAUUGAGGGUGCUGGGCUUUUGUGAUGAGGCCUUAGUUUCUUAAUUUUUAAGAUGUGGCUAAUAACAAUUCUCUUGUAAUGUCGUUAGGGUCAGCAGUAGCACGUACUCCCAACACCGAACACCAGCUCCUAAGUAGAUGCUCAAUAAACAUGUGUCAAAUGGCUGAAAUGAAUUAGAGUUAACUUACAGUGCACUUUGCAUAGAACCUGGUGAAAACAAGAGCUUUUAGCUAUCCAAACCGCAGAGGAAAUAGAUGCUAAUGAAUUUCCCUAAACAAAUUUGGUCACGUAAUAAGAAUAAAUAUUUGUGAAA
This is a long non-coding RNA of Lemur catta (Ring-tailed lemur), 1091 nucleotides long. RefSeq lists it as uncharacterized. The transcript is spliced from 5 exons. Lineage: Eukaryota; Metazoa; Chordata; Mammalia; Primates; Lemuridae. The record is from RefSeq and is a predicted model, not a curated record.